UCUCUUCUGUGGUUAUCGCGCUUUGCCUGC
Molecule: non-coding RNA, 30 nt
Filed under: Macaca fascicularis (crab-eating macaque)
Lineage: Eukaryota; Metazoa; Chordata; Mammalia; Primates; Cercopithecidae
Also listed under: 1 other name
Source: RNAcentral